RNA transcript from Oncorhynchus keta (chum salmon), 2089 nucleotides. It is a transcript of the gene named chitinase-3-like protein 1, with no coding region annotated. Lineage: Eukaryota; Metazoa; Chordata; Actinopteri; Salmoniformes; Salmonidae. The transcript is spliced from 6 exons. The record is from RefSeq and is a predicted model, not a curated record.
GGUAUUGGUACGGUGCUCGAGCAUGGAGGGCUCAGAUAGCGGGCUUUUAGCUAGAGCGCACGUAUAGCCUACAGACCUUGACGCUCUCUGGUCCCCACUCCAGUCCAGUUGGUGGCGGUAAUGCACCUUAAAGUUGGUUGCAACUGACAUACAAAGUCCACAGAAGAAGAAGGUGCGACGGUUUGAAGAAGUGGUUGGUCAAUAGGCCCAUGUUGUGAUUAGUAGGACUAGCACAGUGUAUUUGUUUCUCCUGGAGGUGAACAUGUAGUAAUGUUUUUCCUAUUUUGAAGUGAGACCUUCGCCGGUGUUAUCCAGACAGGGGAGGACAGCUUCACAAAAACAACCUGAGCGAUCAUUUUCCUAGAUCCUACUUUCUUGCCCUGUCAGAUGUAAGUUCCCACCAGGAUGUCAGCACAACAUGAAUGUGGCAGCAGUUUUUGUUUGGUUCAGCCUGGUAGUCACUAAAGCCAUUUGUACUCUGGAAGAGUACCGUCUGGUGUGCUAUGUGAACAGCAGGACCCAGCACCAUCCUGACAUGCUUGCCUUCAGCCUGGACAUGGCUGACCCAUCCCUCUGCACUCAUAUCAUCAUGGCCUACAUGGACCUGGACCAGGACUAUCACAUCACACCCUUCACACAGGAGGACAAGACCCUCUGCAACUCCCUCAACAUGCUUAAAGAGGGGUGUGUGUGUGUGUGUUACUACCACAACCAUCAGGUUGUAUAAUUCAAUCUCCUCUCUGCCCUCCACCAGGAACCCAGAUCUGAAAACUCUGCUUGCUGUUGGGGGAAGGAACUCUACGGACACCAGGCUCCUAAAAAUGUCCUCUGACAACACCAGGAGGAAGACGUUUGUCCAGUCUGUUCUGAAACACCUGAGGCAGGAGGGCUUUGAUGGACUGGAUGUGGUGUGGUAACCUCACUCUGCUUCUAAUGUAGCACAGGGGGGAAACAUGUAUUCACUAAUCUGCUCAAGAUGAGAGCGCUGCAGCGUCAGGAGCUGGGUGGAGCCAUGGUGUGGUCUCUGGAUCUGGACGACUUCACGGGGACAUUGUGUGGCAAAGGUCGCUUCCCGUUCACCAGACUGCUCAAAGGUCGCUUCGCGUUCACCAGACUGCUCAAAGGUCGCUUCCCGUUCACCAGACUGCUCAAAGGUCGCUUCCCGUUCACCAGACUGCUCAAAUGUCGCUUCCCGUUCACCAGACUACUCAAAUGUCGCUUCCCGUUCACCAGACUGCUCAAAGGUCACUACCCGUUCACCAGACUGCUCAAAGCGUCGCUUCCCGUUCACCAGACUGCUCAAAGGUCGCUUCCCGUUCACCAGACUGCUCAAUGGUCACUUCCCGUUCACCAGACUGCUCAAAGGUCGCUUCCCGUUCACCAGACUGCUCAUAGCUUCGCUUCUCAGGGAUAAGGGGCCACGACAUCAUAAACGCCACCACCGCUCACGCCACCGUCAUCACCAUCGCCAUCCACAUCGUCAUGGUGGUUUCCUUUCCCGUGACAGCCAUCGCACUGGUUACCAUGUUCAUUGUCACCUUGACCGUCACAACAUUUAAUCAAACAGUGGAGUGUGACUGUAACGUAACUCACUACACUGGCAAGACUCAACAUACCAUCCCUGGGGUGGCAGGUAGUGUAGUGGUCAGAGCAUUGGACUAGUAACCGAAAGGUUGCAAGAUCGAAUCCCCGAGCCGACGAGGUAAAAAUCUGUCGUUCUGCCCCUGAACAAGGCAGUAACCCACUGUUCCUAGGAAAAUAAGAAUUUGUUCUUAACUGACUUGCCUAGUUAAAGGUAAAAUAAAGAAAGAAAUAAAAAAUCCCUGCAAGAAUAUAUUAGCAUGUUUUUUUAUAUGGUAGAUCAGGUUGGACUGUUUGUUGGCUCUGUGAGUGAUUUCUGUCAUGGUAUAGUAGAGAUGAGGCUCUAGAUUUAUCUUCAUAACUUGCACUCUGUCCUCUAUGGAGGAAUACUAUGCGUUAAUUGUAUUGUCUUAUGACACAUUUUACUGCUUUACAAAUAAUAAAAUGAAUGGCUCCAUUUCCAUGGCCUAAUAUAACGUUUUGAUAUACCAUUAAAUGACAAAUUGUU